CAUAUCCUGAAAUGCUGGUUUUGCAUAGUUUUGCUUUUUUACAUGUUAAUUUGCGGUUGCUAAUCUUGCAAUAUACUUGCUUCAGUAUGUUUAAAUAAAUAUGAAAUGGUCAUAUGAAGAUGAAGAAAGAAUCAAUCAUGUUCAGAAUAUUUGUGUCUCAUUGUUUCGUUUGCACAAAUAAAAUUAUAGCACAAAAGCAAUGAAAAACAGAUAAAUAACUCAUGGGGUUAUUAAACCAACAGGCCUAGUGGUUUUCCUAUGUUUAUGAUGCUGUUUAAUUUAAAAUUAAAGCAAUUUGAACCUGUGACACUAAAAUUAUCACAAGAUUUUUGUUUGUUUUCUUCGUUGUUUUGUUACUUUUCUUUUCAUUUUGUUUUUUAAUGCUUUUUAGCUGGAUUGAUGAACCACUGCAACAG
RNAcentral lists this unclassified non-coding RNA (416 nucleotides) under Hevea brasiliensis (rubber tree). Lineage: Eukaryota; Viridiplantae; Streptophyta; Magnoliopsida; Malpighiales; Euphorbiaceae. The record is from RNAcentral.